AUAUGUAUAUAUAAACAAAUAAUUGUCAAGAUAAAACAUUAAAGUUAAAACUGUCAAACUUGGUGCAUAAGAAAAUCGGACAAUUCAUUCUUAAUGAC
Molecule: long non-coding RNA, 98 nt
Organism: Octopus sinensis (East Asian common octopus)
Lineage: Eukaryota; Metazoa; Mollusca; Cephalopoda; Octopoda; Octopodidae
Exons: 3
Source: RefSeq, a predicted model, not a curated record